This 519-nucleotide ribosomal RNA is filed under the name Minablatta sp. MNHN PG35. Its description in RNAcentral is "partial 16S ribosomal RNA". It matches the Rfam family "Archaeal large subunit ribosomal RNA", at positions 1913 to 2669 of the family's 2987-position model. Lineage: Eukaryota; Metazoa; Arthropoda; Insecta; Blattodea; Blaberidae. The record is from RNAcentral. RNAcentral also lists the same sequence under 1 other name.
CUUUUCUUGUAUUUAGUAAGAAGUAUGACCUGCCCAAUGAAUAUUUAGUGUUUAAAUGGCCGCGGUAUUUUGACCGUGCAAAGGUAGCAUAAUCAUUAGUCUCUUAAAUGGGGACUAGAAUGAACGGUUUAACGAGAUAAGCUCUGUCUUUAUUUUAAUUUAUUUAAUUUAAUUUUUGAGUCAAAAGGCUCAAAUUUUUUUAUGGGACGAGAAGACCCUAUAGAGUUUAUAUAUCAAUAUAAGUGUUUAUUGGUGUAUGAAAAUCAUUUAAUAAUUAAGGGUAUUUAGUUGGGGAGACUUAAAGAUAAUUAUAACUCUUUAAAAUUUAAUUUACUUAUUUGUAUUAACUUUGAUCCAUUUUUAAUGAUUAAAAGACUAAAUUACCUUAGGGAUAACAGCGUAAUCUUUUUUGAGAGUUCUUAUUAACAAUAAGGAUUGCGACCUCGAUGUUGGAUUAAGAAAAUUUUUAGUGGUGAAGAAGCUUUAAGGUUAGGUCUGUUCGACCUUUAAAUUCUUACA